AACCUUAUAGUAUAGCGUAUAGUACGCCGACUACUUUACCGGAAACGUAAGUUCGAAUUUUACCGAGGUUCUUUUAAGUUUAAAAGUAUUUAAUAAAGGUCUUUUAAGCUUAAAUCUAUUUUUAUUAUCCGCCGGUAAUACAUUUUUUUACGAUAAUAGGGGUAUAUAAUACUAGUUAAGCCUAAAUUCCUUUCUACCUUCUAACUUUAUAGUAUAAUAUAUAAUACGUUAAUUAUCCUAUCGGAGGCGUAGGUUCGAUUCCUAUUAAAGUUC
Molecule: non-coding RNA, 273 nt
Organism: Podospora bellae-mahoneyi
Lineage: Eukaryota; Fungi; Ascomycota; Sordariomycetes; Sordariales; Podosporaceae
Source: the annotation of a RefSeq genome assembly